UGCCAGCCGCCGCGGUAAUACGGAGGGAUCUAGCGUUAUUCGGAAUUACUGGGCGUAAAGCGAGCGUAGGCUGAUUUGUAAGUUGGAUGUGAAAUCCCAGAGCUUAACUCUGGAACUGCAUCCAAAACUACAUUUCUUGAGUUUGGUAGAGGAGAGUGGAAUUCCUAGUGUAGAGGUGAAAUUCGUAGAUAUUAGGAGGAACACCAGUGGCGAAGGCGACUCUCUGGGCCAAUACUGACGCUGAGGUUCGAAAGCGUGGGUAGCGAACAGGAUUAGAUA
Molecule: ribosomal RNA, 279 nt
Filed under: uncultured bacterium
Lineage: Bacteria
Description: partial 16S ribosomal RNA
Rfam family: Bacterial small subunit ribosomal RNA
Source: RNAcentral